AGUGAACGCUGGCGGUAUGCCUAACACAUGCAAGUCGAACGGCAGCACAGUAAGAGCUUGCUCUUACGGGUGGCGAGUGGCGGACGGGUGAGGAAUACAUCGGAAUCUACUUUUUCGUGGGGGAUAACGUAGGGAAACUUACGCUAAUACCGCAUACGACCUACGGGUGAAAGCAGUGGAUCUUCGGACCUUGCGCGAUUGAAUGAGCCGAUGUCGGAUUAGCUAGUUGGCGGGGUAAAGGCCCACCAAGGCGACGAUCCGUAGCUGGUCUGAGAGGAUGAUCAGCCACACUGGAACUGAGACACGGUCCAGACUCCUACGGGAGGCAGCAGUGGGGAAUAUUGGACAAUGGGCGCAAGCCUGAUCCAGCCAUACCGCGUGGGUGAAGAAGGCCUUCGGGUUGUAAAGCCCUGUUGUUGGGAAAGAAAAGCAGCAGGUUAAUACCCCGCUGUUCUGACGGUACCCAAAGAAUAAGCACCGGCUAACUUCGUG
RNAcentral lists this ribosomal RNA (492 nucleotides) under uncultured bacterium. RNAcentral describes it as "partial 16S ribosomal RNA". It matches the Rfam family "Bacterial small subunit ribosomal RNA", at positions 29 to 507 of the family's 1533-position model. The record is from RNAcentral.